RNAcentral lists this non-coding RNA (798 nucleotides) under Chalcopis glandulosa. Lineage: Eukaryota; Metazoa; Arthropoda; Insecta; Hemiptera; Pentatomidae. The record is from RNAcentral.
UUUUAUAUAUAUAAAUUUGAUUCUGGUUUAUUAAAGAUUGCUUUUUGAUGAAUUUAACAUGUAAAUAUUAGUAUGAAUGAUAUAUUAUUUUAAAAAUAAUUAUAUUUUAAUUUAUUCGCAGUUUUUAAUAUUAUAUAUUUAAUGAUUUAAGAUAUAGUUAAUUGUUAUAUGACUAGCAAAAGUUGUGCCAGCAGCUGCGGUUAUACAUCUAGUUAAAGUUAUUUUUAUUGAAUUAAUUAUUUUAUUUAUUUUUAAUUUUGAUAAUAAUUUAUUUAUUUUUAGGUGAAAUUUAAAUUUUUUUAAAUUAUCAGGUUUAAUUAAUUAUAAGAAAUUUUUAUUUUAAACUAGGAUUAGAUACCCUAUUAUAAAAAAUGUAAAUAUUUUAUCUAGUAUUAUAAGUUAUGAUCUUUAAAUUGAAAGAAUUUGACGGUAAUUUGAUCAUUUUAGAGGAACCUGUUCUGUAAUUGAUAAUCCACGAUAAAUUUUACCUUAAUUUUUAACUUGUAUAUCUCUGUUUGGUAGAAUGUUUUAUAAGGAUAUUUUCAUAUUAUUUUAUAGAAUUUAAUGUCAGGUCAAGGUGCAGUUAUAUUAAGGAUUGAAAUGGGUUACAUUUAAUUUUAUUAUUGGGAUAAUUUUAUAUAUUUAUUUUAUUAAAUUGGAUUUAAUUGUAAUGUUUAAUAUAUUUUAUUCAUGAUAUAUGUUCUUGAUUAAGUACAUAUCGCCCGUCACUCUCAUUAUUUAUAAGUGAGAUAAGUCGUAACAAAGUAGUUUUAUCGGAAGAUGAAUCUGGAAUUAUUA